GACGAACGCUGGCGGCGUGCCUAAUACAUGCAAGUAGAACGCUGAAGAGAGGAGCUUACUCUUCUUGGAUGAGUUGCGAACGGGUGAGUAACGCGUAGGUAACCUGCCUUGUAGCGGGGGAUAACUAUUGGAAACGAUAGCUAAUACCGCAUAACAAUGGAUGACACAUGUCAUUUAUUUGAAAGGGGCAAUUGCUCCACUACAAGAUGGACCUGCGUUGUAUUAGCUAGUAGGUGAGGUAAUGGCUCACCUAGGCGACGAUACAUAGCCGACCUGAGAGGGUGGUCGGCCACCCUGGGACUGAGACACGGCCCAGACUCCUGCGGGGGGCAGCAGUAGGGAAUCUUCGGCAAUGGGGGCAACCCUGACCGAGCAACGCCGCGUGAGUGAAGAAGGUUUUCGGAUCGUAAAGCUCUGUUGUAAGUCAAGAACGGGUGUGAGAGUGGAAAGUUCACACUGUGACGGUAGCUUACCAGAAAGGGACGGCUAACUACGUG
Molecule: ribosomal RNA, 497 nt
Filed under: uncultured bacterium
Lineage: Bacteria
Description: partial 16S ribosomal RNA
Rfam family: Bacterial small subunit ribosomal RNA
Source: RNAcentral